GUUCGCGUAACUCAGUGGUAGAGUGUGAGAUUGCAACCGAGUUGAAAAAUCUUGAAGCCGCGUGUUCGAACCACGCCGCGAACU
Lentinula boryana is the source of this 84-nucleotide non-coding RNA. The record is from the annotation of a GenBank genome assembly. NCBI's taxonomy places the organism in Eukaryota, Fungi, Basidiomycota, Agaricomycetes, Agaricales, Omphalotaceae.